RNAcentral lists this long non-coding RNA (6354 nucleotides) under Nicotiana tabacum (common tobacco). Its description in RNAcentral is "long non-coding RNA (NTAB_LNC000142)". The record is from RNAcentral. Lineage: Eukaryota; Viridiplantae; Streptophyta; Magnoliopsida; Solanales; Solanaceae.
CUCUCAUAACCCAGAACAGGCCGAUUUCAAUGGCUGGAAUACAUAGACACCUCUUAACUUUUUAGUAAAAAUUGUUUAGACGCCUCAACUAGGACCAUGACCUAUCUACCGCUCGAUUGAAGUUUGCAGCAUAGCAGAGUUGUGGAUUUAGUAUGCAGAUUAGUUAAAACAGGGUAAGAUGGCAAAAUGCUCAAACACUUGAGAAAAGAGGUAUGUGAAGUGUUUCUGUUACAACAGUCAAUAUGUGAAGUCUUUAUUAAAAACGUAUUGCAAUACCACAUGCCCUUGAAAUUAGAUAAGUGUGUUUAACUCAGCUAAAUGUUGGUAGGGAAAUUGGAAUAGAUUUGUCUAAAAUUAAGAGUAACAAAUUGGAUUGGAUCAUUCAUCUCAACUUUCCCUGUGGAAUCAUAGAUUAGUGUGUUUAACUCAACGCAUGAGUUUAUUAGUUAAAAACCAUAGAAUUCUGUAUUAAUUUUGUCCUCAACCUAUGCUUCUUAGUUUACAGUUUCUUUCCUUCUUUAUAAGCUCUCAGUUUUCUUUAAGUAAUUAUUAUGUUCUUAGGUAAGUGGCCUACUGUGAUCGUGCUAGAAAUAAUAAAAUGAGAAUUAUGAAGACAAGUUAAUCAAGUUGUCACUUUUCACUAAGUGUCUUGCUUCAAGAAGGGGAUCUUAUCGCGACGUGUAAGAGUUGUCGCUGUGUGAAAAGGAAAUCAUGUGUUCUAGCCGUGCAAAGUGCAAACAACAUCUUGCAAAAAUGCAAAGUAAGGUUUUGAACAAUAGACCAAAUGUGUUCGGCCCCUCUCUAGACCCCACACAUAGUGGGAGGUUAGUGCACCGGGCUGCCCUUAUUUUUAUAUAUCUUGUUUCAAAAUUUCUUAACUGAUCAUGGGAUGUUUGGAAAUAUAACCUUUCUUUAUUAAUUUAGAUGCUAUGUUCUAGCAUCACUCUGGUGUGUUUGUCUGGCUCUUUCUCUAGGUUGGGCAUAAGUGUGUGUGCUUCUAGCUUGUAAAAUGUAAAAUCAAAAGCUGAUAACAGGAGAAUCUUAGUAGUCCAGUUGAUUGGCUACUUGAAUUUUCACCUUGUUGGUGGGGGUUCGAUUCCCCUCCUUGCAAUAUCUUCCCCCAUUUCCCCUUCCCCUCCUGCUAUGCACAAUGAAAAAAAUGAUAACAAUAACUAUAUAAGAGCUGUAACAUUACCGAGAUAUGGUGUGUUUCUCACGUAGAAAGAUGACCAUUGUGUCGUUUCUUCUUGACUUAUUAGUGAUGAUAUCUUUUUGAUUCCCUCUUCAAUUCAGUUCUAGGAAUUGGGUCUUAUGUGAACAACACAUACUGAAGAAGAUGAGUGAGUCUAAGAAUUGGUUGGUUAGUAGAAAUCAUGAUCUAAGGAAGCAAGGAUCAAAUGAGGGAUUUUUUCAAACAUGUAAACUUGAGAAAUUAGCUGUACUAAAAUUUGUUGCCGCUGGUAUGUUCAACUUGUGUGAUUUCAGAUUCAGCAAUCCAUUUAUGUCAUGUGACUUCAGAUUGAAAUACUAUUGGGAAUUCCCUUUCCAGUAAGUCCAGUAGUACUCUUGUCACCUGACGCGUUUGGGUACAGUAACGUAUAAGGCAUCUGUAUAGGUCCUUUUCGGUUCUUCAAUGUAUUGUCGUUGUUCCUAUCCAUUAUUCUGUUCUCGAUUUCUACCAGUUUGUCAUGGAAUCCCUCAAAUGCAUGUCGUGGUUUACUAUCAGAAGUCCAUUCAGGAGCAUCUCUUUGUCCAAGAUAAAUCUCAUCUGAAGAAUGCAUGGAUAACAUCUCUAUCAAAGAGAUGCCAAGAAGAGUUUGGAACUGGGCUGUGAUGGUCUUUAGGUAGGCUCGCUCAUGGUUUGACUCAAGCUCAACAUACUCAGGAGUGCCUGGCAUUGGCAUAAAGCGCCGGCUUACGGUUGGGCGAUUUGGGAGAUAACCAGCAUAAGGAUAUUGCCCAAAAUUAACUGCUGCAUGAAGAGCAGAAGCCACCCAUAUGAUUAUGGUGCAUGUUUGGACAAGCUCAGCUCUUGUCUGCAUCUGAGGCCACCAUGGUUCAUCUUUCAAGUCACCAUGACCCACGUUGCGAACUUCUGUCCACCAUGAUUGAAGUUCAGGAUCAUCUUGGAUCAUUUCAUCCGCUAUGUAAUAGAAUGAGCAAUACUCUUCCACCCAGGUUUCAAUUGCUGACCAAAUCUCAAGUCCAUCAACGGCGUAAGGAUAAUCCUCUAUCAGAAGUCUAAGGCCAUGAGGCUGGCUUGGGUCUGGUACUGCAACUCCUCUAUAAAUUAAAAAUAAUUGAGAGCAUUACUUGGACAAGAUGGAUAUGACAUUGAAUUUUAAGCUGUAACAACUAGUGACCUACCUCUUAAGUAGAUCUGCAGGGAGUGCCUGCUCAGUGAACACCCAAUUCUUAUAGAUGGAAGAAGACAUUUCCAUGGCAUACUUGGAUGGAAAUACUGUCAACUCAAGUAUUCCACCUGCAUUAAUGAGGAUCUGCCGAGCCAAAGCAUUGAUGUUCAUUGUAUCACGGAAGUGGGGAUGUAGAAGCUUAUAGAUUGGAUGAAGCACACUCAAUUGUCUGUUUGUUGCUAUAAUAAAUGGCUCUAAAGCUGCAUGGGUAUUCAACCUGCAAAGUAUGUAACAAAAUUAAUGUAGUGACUUCAAGAGGUGACCUGCUUCUAUAGUUUCUACCUUUUCAUCUGCUUUGUUAAGUAGCUCACCAGUGACUGACGAGCUGAUGAUACCCAGAAUCAUUUACAGCAACAUAGGCUUUAGCCAGAUGCCAGACAUAGCCUUCAGCACUCUCAUCAUUACAUGGGGUAAAUACUUGACUGCUGGAACCAUGUUUAUCUCCUUGUGGGUGUGGUAAGCUCAGUUCGAUUGCAAGUGGCUUCAAUGUUCCAUCAUCUUGGAGUAAAAGGAGGGUCCGACUAGCAUAGAUCUUAUUGGAUGUUGAGUUAAUCCGAUUAAGAUAAGGCAUAAGCCCGUCAUGAUAAUCUAAGAUGAAUAGCCUGUUAUACUUUAUUGCCUGUGACCACAAAAGAUAAAUGUGUAAAAUAUAUAGAAUCUAAAAUGGAAACAGAUGAAUAGUUUCCAUAUACAAAGGAUGCCUUGGUUUUCUCUUCCUUUCUUUAUGAUAAAUCACCAGAAAAAAGUUGGUCCUCAGAAAAAGAAAAAAAAAACAGAAAAAGAAAUGAAGAAUGAGUAUUACAUCAUCCACAGUUAGUCCAUCCAUGUAUUUCUCAAUCUGCUCUCUUGUGAUUUUACUAGUUUGGUUGCCAUAUACUUCAGGAUUUAGCUUGCUUGUGGGUGGAAAUUCCUGAUAGGCAUUUAGUCUUUUAGUAUCUGCAUUCAAAGAGUACAAAAACACAUAGAAAAGAUAAAAAAAUUCGUAAUUGAUAUUACCUGGAGACGCUGGAUAAUCACAGGAUUGACUCCAGCCAGCAUUUCACGUCCAAACUCUUCAUCUGUCCUCCAUGCAGAGUUAUCUUCUGUAUUUUUUUUUUUUUUGGGAAAGGGUUCACAAUUAAUUUACUUUUUCACCUUAGGAAGUACUCAGAGGCUAAAGUAGUUGUGGAGCCAGAGAAAGAGAACACAUAAGCACCUUUAAUUACAUGAGGAAUUGGAAAUUUAUGAAGUUGUCCUUUAAGCAUCUCCCAUGGCAUGCUUUCCGUGGAGUUAUCAGGAACUCGACCUUUAUAGACUUUUUGUACAUGUUUGAAGCUGUUAAACUCAUUAAAAGGUUUGGCUAACAGAGAUGCAAGCUGUGGAAUUAUGACCCGACCCAUUGAUUUGGCACCAUAUCGAAGGAAAUCCAUAAAUUUCACAUGGUUGAAACGUUCAUCUCGUGGAACAUAAAUGUUCAAACUCAGAAGUGGAAGCCGGCUCUCUAAGCUAGAAUCUGUAACAGCAAACUUAACUCUUUCAACAUGUUCUAUUAGUGGUUCUAAGACAACACCUGGAAAUAUGAUGACAUUAAUAUGUUUGCAGCCUAACCUCUUUUAGUCAGUGGACGGCCCGUUCUUCCCCUUCGGGGGUAUGGAUAAUCCUUUCCCCCACCAAGCACUGGUCGACCAUGUCCUAAAUCAUUGUAGACUGCAUAGUCGUAAACCCUGUCCCAUUCCUCGAGUUUGCCAGAACCUGUACCCUGAAGAUUAAUGAGCUCCUCAUUCCUGUAUGGCCGAAGGGGUUCUGGUGUGUUGCAUGGCAGGUAUGUCUGAUAACACCAAAAAUUAGAGAUUCAGUCUCUAUCAUGAUCCAUAAGUUUGAAUUAAAUCCUGUACGCACGACUUGGUUAAGAUUUAGUAUGUCAGUGUAGGUAUAAUGUGAGAUUAGAGAACUUCAACUAGUUUGGAUUGAGGAAUAGUUGAUUGAUUGAUAUGACAGUCUUAUUUUCAUCUAUAUAAAAACUCUAGGUUUACAUAGCCUUCUAUCCUGUCAUACUUUAGGACUGUCAUCAUAAUCCUGUAAGUCAGGAAGUUCAGAACUAUUUUGAAGAGGAACAUAUCUUAUUUAACUUGAAAAUGUAUUUUUUUUUUUUUUUGUGUAUCUGGGAAUCAUACAGUUAGGUUUAACCUAUCAGUAUGUAUUUUUUGCCUAGAAAAUUGAAGUGCAUCCUCAACCUUAGUGCUUUCUUCUGCAAUUACGUGUAAUAAGCUCUGCCAGUUCCUGUUGAGUGAUUACAAUGUUUUGCAGGCAUCAUAUAGAUUCCUGGAGUAAGGUUAAGAAAUAUGAAUACCUUGUUGCUAAAAAACACCCGAUCGUACUUGUAGCGAUGUGCUGGAUACACCCAAGAAUUGCAGACGAAACGAACUUCACCAUGUCCGGGAAUAUCUUCUAAAGCAACGGUCUUCAGGUAAAACUGGCUAUGAUGAUAGUUCUUUAUAAUGAAAGCACCUGGAACUCCUAUUGACUCAUCCAACUCAAAUGUAAUAUUGAAUGUAGCUUCUUCCACUGAUAUCCAAGUCUUGCUGGAUGUCCAGUCCAAAAUUGCUGGUUUUCCCACCUUCCCUUUUGAUCCAUUUCCUUUAAGAAUGAAAAAAAAAAAUUGUGCUUCAAUGUUACUGUACAGAAUAACAUACAUUCUGCAUUUAUUGCAUUAAGGCUUCCAAAUUAAUCCGAAGUAGUUGAUUUCAAACAUUUAAACGACUGCAGAGAAGGAACUAUCAAGGUUUUCUUAUGGUAUUUUUGCUUCUAAAUGGGAGGAAACCAGGGAAAUAAAACCUUUAGAUUUAUUCUGCUGCUUACUUUCGCAAAAUUUGUUGGUGAAAAUGGAAUAACCAGGCAUUCAGAAUUCAGGUAGUGGAGGUUCAGGAGUUAAAAUUUUGAAACUCCAGAAUAAGAGUUUGUUACUAAAAUGGCGUCGGAGGUUUAAUGAUUUUAACAAUGAACUAUGGAACAAUGUUAUAACCAUUAAAUAUAUGGUAAGAAUGAGGAGAGGUGCACUAACAGUGUAAGAGGUGUGUAUGGUGUAUCUGUUUGGAAGCCUACUAGGAGUCUAUGGGAAGAAUUUUAUGACUGUUUAAGCUGAAAGUUGGCAAUGGAAGAAGAGUGAAGAUGUGGUCAAAUAGGUGGCUAUGACACUUCCUUAAUUGAGCAGUUUCCAGAUCUUUAUGCAAUCAUAUCGAACAAGCACUCUAUGGCUGAUUUCUACUUUUAUUUAAGAAGGAACUUGGAUGACUGGGAGAUUGAUUGCAUAAAUGACUUCAUUCAACAGCUAAAACCUGUCUCUAUUUGAUGAUCAGGUGGCUGAUUCUUUGUUGCGGACGGUUAAGAAAAUGGUAAAUGUACUGUCAAAGUAAUGUUAUAAAAGCCUCUUGAGGAAAAUAGGUGGAAUCCAUGACUGUUGACCGUGGAAGAUAAUCUGGAAAUCUAUUGUCCCCGUAGAGCUGCUUGCUCCACUGCACUGUUACCAAGAAAAUAUGGUCAAUGUUCCGGAGCAUUUUUGGAGUCCAAUUGGUUACGCCAGGAAGAAUAAAACUUGCCUUACACAGCUCGUAUGCACAGCCAUUUGCUAGGGGCAGCAAACACUGCUGCAAUGCAGUUCCUACUUGCAUAUUCUGAAUACUUGACUAGAUAGAAAGCAACAGAUGUUUUAAUGAUAAGAGUGAUAACAUUGCAAAUGUAAUAUCUAGAUGCUGUACGGAUCUUUCUUUGUGGUGUGGGAAGAACAUUGUAUCUGACAUAAUAACUAACAAGUAUAAUAACUAACAAGUUUGUUUGCAUCUCUUUGCUCAGCUCUAGGGAGAAAAUGUAAAUUACCAGGAUCAGCAUGGACAUCACUAAUGAGCUCUAGGAUGACGCGUUUGCCAAAGAGCUCGUGCAUUCGAUCAAGGAAGGCAGAACCAGC